RNAcentral lists this long non-coding RNA (8134 nucleotides) under Salmo salar (Atlantic salmon). Its description in RNAcentral is "lncRNA (ENSSSAG00000088760.1)". The record is from RNAcentral. Lineage: Eukaryota; Metazoa; Chordata; Actinopteri; Salmoniformes; Salmonidae.
GUACAAAACAUUAGGAAGACAUUCUUAAUAUUGAGUUUCACUCCCUUUUGCCCUCAUUAACAGCCUCAUUUUUUCGGGCCAUGGACUCUACAAGGUGUCAAAAGCAUUCCACAGGGACGGUGGCAAGUGUUGACUCCAAUGUUUCCCACAGUUGUGUCAAGUUGGCUGGAUGUUCUUUGGGUGCCCUGACCAUUCUUGAUACACACAGGAAACUGUUGAGAGUCAAAAACCCAGCAGCGUUGCAGUUCUUGGCACACUCAAACCAGUGCACCUGGCACCUACUACCAUACCCUGUUCAAAGGCACUUCAAUAUUUUGUCUUGAUCUUUCAACCUCUGAAUGGCACACAUACACAAUCCAUGUCUCAAUUGUCUCAAGGCUUGAAAAUCCUUCUUUAACCGGUCUCCUCCCCUUCAUCUACACUGAUUGAAGUGGAUUUAACAAGGGACAUCAUGUCUAUGUCAUGGAAAGAGCCAGUGUUCCUAAUGUUUUGUACACUUCGUGUAGAACGGAUGCUAACCACAGGAGGUUGGUGGCACCUUAAUUAGGGAGGACGGGCUCAUGGUAAUGGCUGGAGUGGAAUUAGUGGAAUGGUAUCAAAUACAUCAAACAAUGGUUUCCAUGUGUUUGAUGCCAUUCCAUUUCCUCCAUUCCAGACAUUAUAAUGAGCCGUAAUCCCCUCAGCAGCCUCCUGUGAUGCUAAGUACCCUGUUUGGUAAUCAGGCCGCCACUUUCAGUCAGCUAACAUGGAUGGAUAAGUGCCUUUUUUUUGAGGCAAUGAUUGUCUUUUUCAUAAUAACAUAAACCAUCAAAGAGAAAUUCCAAAUCCAUCAGACUAAAUAAUGUUUCAUACAUUAUACAUGAAGUGAUCUGUGAACAUUCUAUGUUAAGUUAAUGUGAUUCAUGCAGUAACAUUUAAUGUUUGUUUUUGUAUAUAAGUAUUUAGCGAAAGGGUUACUGUGUUCCAGGUAAGACAGUAGAUAGUGAUAGUGAGAGGGUUACUGUGUUCCAGGUGAGACAGUAGAUAGUGAUAGUGAGAGGGUUACUGUGUUCCAGGUGAGACUGUAUAUAGUGAGAGGGUUACUGUGUUCCAGGUGAGACUGUAUAUAGUGAGAGGGUUACUGUGUUCCAGGUGAGACUGUAUAUAGUGAUAGUGAGAGGGUUACUGUGUUCCAGGUUAGACAGUAGAUAGUGAUAGUGAGAGGGUUACUGUGUUCCAGGUUAGACAGUAGAUAGUGAGAGGGUUACUGUGUUCCAGGUUAGACAGUAGAUAGUGAGAGUGAGAGGGUUACUGUGUUCCAGGUGAGACAGUAGAUAGUGAUAGUGAGAGGGUUACUGUGUUCCAGGUGAGACAGUAGAUAGUGAUAGUGAGAGGGUUACUGUGUUCCAGGUCAGACAGGACAAAAAGGAGACCCUGGAGUUGAUGGCCAGACUGGAGCCAAGGGAGAAGCAGGGGAACCAGGAUUCGAAGGGGAUUCACCUUACUCCUACUGACCCCAAACCUUAAGAUCAAUCUAAACCCCAAUAGGAAAUGUGACAUAAUUACUGAUCUUUCAUGUCAUAACAAUGCAUUUAGUAGUCUGUGGUUCUUAUUAAUGCUCAUAUCCACUGGCAAACAGAGUUCUCUUGUAGUUCUACCACUAAUGAUCUCCAUACAGUACAUCAACUCAAUAAUAAGUCACUGUUUCAGGUGAAGAUGGUACCACUGGGCAACAAGGACCAGCUGGAACACCAGGUAGACCCAGUAGUACUAACAUGGAACCAGUCCAGUAGUACUAACAUGGAAUACAACUCAAGCUGUGGCGUUAUGAGAAAAUGGUGGAUAAGUUGACUGUUUACCAUGGCAGUUACCCAUGCAUCAACACUAACUUUAAUCAGCUCCUUGGUGGACAGGUAGGACCGUGAUAUUAGUGUGUUCUUUUAGUCUGAGAGACAGAGGCUAGAUUAAUUAUUGACAGUGUCACAUGGGCCAGUUCUACAGGUGGAGCUGGAUGAUUUAGUGUUAGGGACAUUGAAUAUUACCCCCUCUCUCACCCCAUCCAUCACAGAGGAAACGUGCGUCGUGUACUUGAUGUCCCAAAGCCAGUCCAAAUAAAGUAUGCUUUGAUACAUAUUUGAUUAGCUGAACUUGCUCCGGGACUUUGCAUUUUUUUAAUUGCUUAAAAAACUAGCCCUGACUCUUGAAAAGUUUUAGGGAGGGGGGAGGUGUUAAUGAAUUUAAAAAUAGUGUAGGAUGAAUGGUUAAAACUGCUGCUGCCCAGGCAGAGACUCUUCUUUUUCUCUCAGUAGGCUGAUGAUCACAAGGCCCUAUUCUCUUACGCCCUGGAAUAAGUAGAAGAUGGACUCAAACUCCCCUUUUUAGUUAACAGAGUCAUAAAUAAUGCCCAAUAAUGUUUGGACCCUGUUUUGUGUUGCUACCAUGUCGUGCUGCUGCCAUGUUGUGUUGCUACCAUGUUGUUGUCAUGAUUUGUUGCUACCAUGUCGUGCUGCUGCCAUGUUGUGUUACUACCAUGUUGUUGUCAUGUUGUGUUGCUACCAUGUCGUGCUGCUGCCAUGUUGUGUUGGUACCAUGUUGUUGUCAUGUUGUGUUGCUACCAUGCUGUGUUGUCAUGUGUUGCUGCCAUGCUAUGUUAAUGUCUUAGGUCUCUCUUUAUGUAGUGUCGUGUUAUUUCUCUUGUCGUGAUGUGUGUUUUGUCCAUUAUUUGUAUUUAUUUUUAAUCCCAGCCCCCGUCCCCGCAGGAGGCCUUUUGCCGUUUUGGUAGGCCAUCAUUGUAAAUAAGAAUUUAUUCUUAACUGACUUGCCUAGUUAAAUAAAGAUUAAAUAAAUAAAAAAUGCAUUAAAAUAAAAAUAAAAUUUCCCUCAUCAUGACUGGCUCAAGUGUUGUAACAUUUCCAGGCAUAGUUCCACAUUUCUGUCACAGCUGUCGUGGAAGAGAGAAUGGGACCAAGGCGCAGCGGGUUGCGUGCUCAACAUAUUUAUUAAAUAAAAUGAGAACACCACGGAAAAACAAUAAACAAACUAACGACAGGAACAGAGCCGCAGGCUCAACAAAAGCAGUGCUCUCAAACAACUACCCACAAGUGACAAACAAAAACACACACCUAUUUAUAGGACUCCCAAUCAGAGGCAACUAGAAACACCUGCCUCCAAUUGAGAGUCCAGCACCCAACCUACACAUAGAAAAACUAACCUAGAAUAUACACAUAGAAAUACAAACAUAGACCAGUGACCAAAAACCCCGUAAUACAUAAAUAAACUACCCUCUGCCACAUCCUGACCAAACUACAAUAACAAAAUAUCCUCUAUACUGGUCAGGACGUGACAAUUUCAGCCUUCUCAGUUUCUGUUCCGGUUGUCACAGUAAUAUACAGAAACGACAUAUGUACGAUCUUAAUUUGAGCCAGUUCACAACAGCAGGAAAAUAAUCCUGCAGAAACAGGAAAUGUGAAUUAUUAUGUGGAUUAUAAUUAAUGGACAUUAUUUGUAGGGGUUGAUACAUUUUUCUUGAGGGGAAAAACAAGUCUCACAAUUUAAAGUGUAAAUUACAAACUUUAGAAGCCUUUUUAAACCUUGAAUACACUACAAGUUCGCAUUUUGUGCUAUGCAGGAAAAUUCUCAGCAACAAAAGAGUGAUCAAAUUAAGAUUCUACAUCUGUAUAUCACCAGAUCAUCAUUGUGAAAUUUGUCCAUUUCAGUUAAAAGUGCUGAGUGAAUGCAUUCACAACUGGAAAUACAGCUAGUUUAGUUUACUUGCUUCACCCAUAUACAGUUUAUUUGUUUCUUGUUACACACACAGUACAGCUGUCGGAUCUUAAUUUGAGCCAGUUGUCUACAGCAGGAAAAUGAUCCUGCAGAAAGAGGAAAUGUGAAUUAUUAUGUGAAUUUUAUUUAAUGGACAUUUUUGUAGGGGUUAUUUGUAAUUUGUUACGACAAAUCAAGUCUGAAACUUCAAGGUGGAAAUUUCUAAAUGUAGAAGCCUUUUGUAAAACUCAAAUACACUACAAGUUUGCAUUUCCUGCUGUACCGGACAAUUAUAAUUAAGAUCCUACAUCUGUAAUACUGUAGUUAUGUUAAAUCUUAGGUGUGUAAUGCGUAUGUAUGUACAGUUGAAGUCGGAAGUUUACAUACCCUUAGGUUGGAGUCAUUAAAACUCGUUUUUCAACCACUCCACAAAUUUCUUGUUAAUUAACUAUAGUUUUGGUAAGUCGGUUAGGACAUCUACUUUGUGCAUGACACCAUUAAUUUUUCCAACAAUUGUUUACAGACAGAUUAUUUCACCUAUAAUUCCCUGUAUCACAAUUCCAGUGGGUCAAAAGUUUACAUACAAUAAGUUGACUGUGCCUUUAAAUUGCUUGGAAAAUUCCAGAAAAUUAUGUCAUGGCUUUGGAAGUUUCUGAUAGGCUAAUUGACAUCAUUUGAGUCAAUUGGAGGUGUACUUGUGGAUGUAUUUCAAGGCAUAUCUUCAAACUCAGUGCCUAUUUGCUUGACAUCAUGGGAAAAUCAAAAGAAAUCAGCCAAGACCUCAGAAAAAAAAUUGUAGACCUCCGCAAGUUUGGUUCAUCCUUGGGAGCAAUUUCCAAACGUCUGAAGGUACCACGUUCAUCGGUACAAACAAUAGUACCAAGUAUAAACACCAUGGGACCACGCAGCUGUCAUACCUCUCAGGAAGGAGACGCGUUCUGUCUCCUAGAGAUGAACGUACUUUGGUGCAAAAAGUGCAAAUCAAUCCCAGAACAACAGCAAAGGACCUUGUGAAGAUGCUGGAGGAAACAGGUACAAAAGUAUUUAUAUACACAGUAAAAUGAGUCCUACAUCGACAUAACCUGAAAGGCCACUCAGCAAGGAAGAAGCCACUGCUCCAAAACCACCAUGAAAAACCCAGACUACGGUUUGCAACUGCACAUGGGGACAAAGAUUGUACUUUUUGGAGAAAUGUCCUCUGAUCUGAUGAAACAAAAAUAGAACUGUUUGGCCAUAAUGACCAUCAUUAUGUUUGGAGGAAAAGGGGGGAGGCUUGCAAGCCGAAGAACACCAUCCCAACCGUGAAGCACUUGGGUGGCAGCAUCAUGUUGUGGAGGUGCUUUGCUGCAGGAGGGACUGGUGCACUUCACAAAAUAGAUGGCAUCAUGAGCAAGGAAAAUAAUGUGGAUGUAUUGAAGCAACAUCUCAAGACAUCAGGCAGGAAGUUAAAGCUUGGUUGCAAAUGGGUCUUCCAAAUAGACAAUGACCCCAAGCAUACCUCCGAAGUUGUGGCAAAAUGGCUUAUGGACAAGAAAGUCAGGGUAAAAAAAGAAAGCCAUCACUAAGCCCUGACCUCAAUCCCAUAGAACAUUUGUGGGCAGAACUGAAAAAGUGUGUGCGAGCAAGGAGGCCUGCAAGCCUGACUCAGUUACACCAGCUCUGUCAGGAGGAAUGGGCCAAUGUUCACCCAACUUAUUGUGGGAAGCUUGUGGAAGGCUACCUGAAACGUUGGACCCAAGUGAACCAAUUUAAAGGCAAUGCUACCAAAUACUAAUUGAGUGUAUGUAAACUUCUGACCCACUGGGAAUGUGAUGAAAGAAAUAAAAUAUGAAAGAAAUCAUUCUCUCUACUAUUAUUCUGACAUUUCACAUUCUUAAAAUAAAGUGAUCCUAACUGACCUAAGACAGGGAAUUUUUACUAGGAUUAAAUGUCAGGAAUUGUGAAAAAGGAGUUUAAAUGUAUUUGGCUAAGGUGUAUGUUAACUUCCGACUUCAACUGUAUCUCUUCAGUGGAUAUUGUGUGCAUGUGUAUACAGUGUCUCUGAUUGUGUGUGUCAUACGUACAAGCGGUGCAGCUACUAAUUGUUCAGGAGCCCCUGGGCUGCCAGGACCAAAGGGGGAUAUGGGACACAUUGGUGAGUCUGUAUGGGCUUAACACUACAUUCACCUAUAGACUGUUUACUUUUAAUGCUCCACCUGCGUAUUUGAAGGGCACACCUGCAAACUACUUAUUUUUUGGUACUCAACAAUUAACUGAACCUGGCCUCUUUUCUUUUCUCUUGCUACUACCUCUAACAUUUACCUCUCAACCUCUUCACAGGUUUACCAGGGAUACCAGGCCAGAACGGGAUCAAAGGGCAUACUGGACCCCAGGGCCGUGAUGGAGUACAGGGGGCCCCUGAUUGGAAGGGUGACACAGGGCCGACAGGACUACCUGGACCCAUAGGACCUGAAGGACCAAAAGGACCUGCUGGUGUUAAUGGAACAAGAGGACUUGUUGGAUUUCCAGGGUUGCCGGGAAGUCCCGGACCACUAGGUCCACGUGGAGAGAAGGGUGAAAGAGCAGCUGGACCAGUGACAGCAAAUGUGCGUAUCGCUGGCGGGGGGACUCGUGGGAGAGUGGAGGUGAUAUGGUCGGGGCAGUAGGGUACGGUGUGUGAAGACGGCUUCGACACUCUGGACGGGACCGUGAUCUGCAAGAUGUUGUUGAAUCUCAUGGACUUGGCUUCUGGAUUGGGUUGUCAUCCGUUUAGGAAUCGGUAGGAUCUGGUUGGAUGACCUGCGAUGCACAGGCAGAGAGGCCAGUGUGUUUGAUUGCCUUCACAACGGCAUGGGCAUCAGCACUGUCAACACAACGAGGACGCUGGGGUGCAGUGUGUGUGAAUGUGUCCUGGAUCCAGAGUAGGAGAGGUGCACAGCAAGAGAGAGACAUAUACACACACUAAAGUAUGUCCACACAUACAUUAACAUGUUACAGAUGGUAAGUCAUGUUACUAUGACUUGUUACAUCUACUGUAUCUUAUCUUUUUUAAACAACAUUAAUAAGUCAUUGUUGAUAUAAACUUGGCAUUUACCUAACGUCUAGCUAACUUAGGCCUACCCAUUGUCUCACGUCAGAUGGUGUCACUCCUACGCGACGCUCGUCCUUCAAACCAUCUGUCUUGUAGGACGUGGAACUCAUAUCUAAAAAUCUAGAUUUUGCUCAUCUGCCGAACACUAGUUUCUAACUCUAUGACGUAUCUAUGACGCACUGACUACUACCAUGCUUGAUCAGCUGAGCAAACUUGCCCAAACUAGGAGCCUAGUGAUAACUUGUUUGAAUGGCCAUUACUGUAGCUAUUUUGCCAAUCUUGUUGAUGAAUAGCCAAAGUUAUGGGACUGUUCUAAGAAAUCAGCAUGUAUCUGACUCUGACAGCUGGCACUGUGCCUCACUACUUUGUAACAUUUGGCCAACGCAAUAACAUCGCAGCUAGCCUAAAGCAGUCAAGCUGUGCUGCAAAACUCACUAAUCACGGCAAAGCAGAAACUGCCUUAUCAUGAAAACUCAUGUGCUAUUAGCUAGAAUAUCACUACACUAGCUAGCUAGAGGGAGUAUUCAGCAUUGAGUGUGUGAACUGUCGUUGUUAGCAUCCCUUGCUUUGAGACUGGUUCAGCCAGCAAGCAGACACUAGCUAGCUGUCACGUCCUGACCAGCAGAGGGCGUAAUGGUGUUAGUUUUGGUCAGGAUGUGGCAGGGGUUUUGUGUGUGUGAAUGGUUGUGUUGGUGAUUGGGACUCCCAAAUGAAGGCAGGUGUGUUGAGUUGCCUUUGAUUGGGAGUCCUAUAUAGGAGUGUGUUUUUCUUUGGGGUUGUGGGUAGUUGUUUUUUCACUGCGUUUGAUAGCCUGCAAAACUGUUGCUGUCUUGUUUAUUGUUUUUUCCUGUGGAUGCCUUACUCUUUUGAAUUAAAAUAUGAGUAUCCACAUUCCCGCUGCGCCUUGGUCCAUUUCUGAAGACGGUUGUGACACUAGCUAGCUAAUUUUCAUGCAAAUUUAGAUUUUCAUGAAUUCUUAUUCUACACCCACAAAACACCUUAGCUAAAUGUAUUGAAGAAUUUGUGAUUAAAUAAAUGUCAAUAUUAGUUACAGGUUUAUAGUUUUAAGAUUAACUCUGACUCUUAUGAGGAUUCAAGGGGGUUCAGUGGACGAUGCCACCUUGGUAACAUUUUUGAAUAUUAGGACAGCAUAUUGUAGUCAAACUUAUUUUUAGCUUUCCAUUGAGUGUUUGCGAGUUAUCAGAGAGAUGAGUGCAGACGGCCUUCGCACUGAUGUGAGACAAUGAGGCCUACCUGUAAUAAUGUACCCGGAGGAAGGUUUAUACAGAAUACAUGGUAUUUUCUGAACUGCACUUGAUAAAC